AUUAUUGCCAUUAGGUAAUUUACAAUGUAUAAAGCGAGAGAAAAGAACCUUUUAGCCUAAUUUUGCUUUAAAAAUUAAAAGGGUCUCCCGGACUAAAUUACUCGUCAGAGUAUUCCCCCAUUAUUAGUUUUUUUUUUAAAAUAAUUUCAGAGUAUACAAAUUCAAUAAACUGAUUCACAGAAUCUUGUAGUGACCUAGCAGAUUUCCCAUAAAAUAAAAAUAUAUCUGUUGAUUUUAUGGGUUUUAUAAUUUAUAAUUUUGUUUGCUAUUCAUUAAAUCAUUUUUUUAAUUUCUCUAAAGGAGCACUACAUAAUAAACAACUGAAACCAGAUUUUUUUUUCUUUCUAAAAUGUCUUUUAGUACUAGUUCAUGAUUUAUUGAUUGAAUUAUUUUCUAAUUUUACUAAUAUUCUUAUGUUAUUCAAAAUUUAGCUACUAAAUAAUUUGUGUUAUUAACUAGAGAAUUUUUUAAAACAAUUAAGAAGCUCUACAGAAAGCAACUGAAUUAUAUAUAUAGAUAUAUAC
Molecule: long non-coding RNA, 524 nt
Filed under: Brassica rapa (field mustard)
Lineage: Eukaryota; Viridiplantae; Streptophyta; Magnoliopsida; Brassicales; Brassicaceae
Description: long non-coding RNA (BRAP_LNC001792)
Source: RNAcentral